Molecule: ribosomal RNA, 492 nt
Filed under: uncultured bacterium
Lineage: Bacteria
Description: partial 16S ribosomal RNA
Rfam family: Bacterial small subunit ribosomal RNA
Source: RNAcentral
AGUGAACGCUGGCGGUAGGCCUAACACAUGCAAGUCGAACGGCAGCACAGUAAGAGCUUGCUCUUACGGGUGGCGAGUGGCGGACGGGUGAGGAAUACAUCGGAAUCUACUUUUUCGUGGGGGAUAACGUAGGGAAACUUACGCUAAUACCGCAUACGACCUACGGGUGAAAGCAGGGGAUCUUCGGACCUUGCGCGAUUGAAUGAGCCGAUGUCGGAUUAGCUAGUUGGCGGGGUAAAGGCCCACCAAGGCGACGAUCCGUAGCUGGUCUGAGAGGAUGAUCAGCCACACUGGAACGGAGACACGGUCCAGACGCCUACGGGAGGCAGCAGUGGGGAAUGUGAGACAAUGGGCGCAAGCCUGGUCCAGCCAUACCGCGUGGGUGAAGAAGGCCUUCGGGUUGUAAAGCCCUUUUGUUGGGAAAGAAAAGCAGCAGGUUAAUACCCCGCUGUUCUGACGGUACCCAAAGAAUAAGCACCGGCUAACUUCGUG